CUGAUUUCUGCUUUAAUACAUGCAGAUACGUUAUUUGGUUUUCCAUUGGCAGUCCCCAGUUUCUGGAGACCAAGUUUCAAACUCUGAGAACUCUGCUGUGACUUUGAAGGGGGCUGAAGAACACUUUUGCAGAAGCUUUCCACAGGAAGAGCUGGCAUCCGUAUCUUCCUUGCAGAUGGAAGCAGAGUGGCCUGUGUCUGCAGCAUUUGAUUGGCUGAUAACUCACCGAGGCUCUUCCUGGCUUAAGAGUUUAACAGCUGCCACAGAUCAAUUGCUGGACUAUUUGUUUUGGUAAAUUGCCCUUCUGUCUUUCAUGUCAUUCAAUAUCACAGAGAAAUACCACUUUAUAAUAAACUGACAGAAGAUUGUGAAGCCUUUCA
RNAcentral lists this long non-coding RNA (380 nucleotides) under Phasianus colchicus (ring-necked pheasant). Its description in RNAcentral is "lncRNA (ENSPCLG00000000709.1)". The record is from RNAcentral. Lineage: Eukaryota; Metazoa; Chordata; Aves; Galliformes; Phasianidae.